GAUGAACGCUAGCGGCAGGCUUAACACAUGCAAGUCGAGGGGCAGCACAGAGGUAGCUUGCUACUUUGGGUGGCGACCGGCGCACGGGUGCGUAACAGGUGUGCAAUCUGUCCAUAAUCGGGGAAUAGCCCAGCGAAAGUUGGAUUAAUGCUCCAUGUGAGUAAGAGAGGCAUCUCUUUUAUUGAAACGUAAGGAUUANGGGUGAGCACGCUUCUGAUUAGGUAGUAGGCGGGGUAACGGCCCACCUAGCCGACGAUCAGUAGGGGUUCUGAGAGGAAGGUCCCCCACACUGGAACUGAGACACGGUCCAGACUCCUACGGGAGGCAGCAGUGAGGAAUAUUGGUCAAUGGGCGCGAGCCUGAACCAGCCAAGUAGCGUGCAGGAUGACGG
Molecule: ribosomal RNA, 391 nt
Filed under: uncultured bacterium
Lineage: Bacteria
Description: bacterial SSU rRNA
Rfam family: Bacterial small subunit ribosomal RNA
Source: RNAcentral